RNAcentral lists this long non-coding RNA (814 nucleotides) under Macaca mulatta (Rhesus monkey). RNAcentral describes it as "lncRNA (ENSMMUG00000054419.1)". The record is from RNAcentral. Lineage: Eukaryota; Metazoa; Chordata; Mammalia; Primates; Cercopithecidae.
GCUAUCUAAUGAACUGUAAAGGACUCCUAUAAAAUGACAGGGCGCAGCUGAGAGCAGGGCCCUAAAGGACAGUAACACAGGGGCGGUGGAAAAUCAUGAUUCAUUGUCCAAGCUCCCAGAGGCAGCUACUGGUUUCCCCGCAGCACACCAGGGAGCCACACAAACUGCUUUGUCAAAUGACUGCUGGGACAGCCGGCACCCUUGUGGAAUGAGUGCGCCGCUCGCAGGACUCCCAGCGGUUCCUUCCUUCACCUGCCCUGCAGUGUGGGACCGUCUGAAGAUGACUCCCAGCAUUGCCGUGUAUGCAUCAGGGCACCUGGCGUGUCCCCGCUCCAUUUUUAUAGAGACAUAGAAGCAUCUUCAUUAAUGCUAGAGGAGAGAGCAACCUGGCCUUCAGAACUCAUAUCAUCAUGCUCUCUCUGUCCUCCUCGAAAAUGAGCCCGAAAACAAAACAAGUGGGUCCGAAAGCAAGGGGCGGGAGCUGCAUCCAGCCAAAGCCCAGCCUCUCCCUGAAGCCGCCUGGCCUGAUGGUGUCCCCUCUUCUUCCGGUGCCUACAGCGGAGCCCUCAGGACCGAGACCUGGGCCCAUCCUGCCUUCUGAGAGACUUCACCAGGAUCAGGCUGUGUCCAACGCACAACACGGUGUUAUUCACACAGUAAGUCAUCAAUUCCUGCCGAUGUUACUUAUGACGAGGUAUGAGGACUAGGGAGAGAUUUCCUUCUAUCUGUUCCGUACAGAAUGCUGUUUCAUAAAAAGCCUCGACUGAAGAGGACAGUCCAUCACAACUUACAGAGAAACGUACAUCAGAGUAUU